This 23-nucleotide small nuclear RNA is filed under the name Arabidopsis thaliana (thale cress). RNAcentral describes it as "snRNA_03829". Lineage: Eukaryota; Viridiplantae; Streptophyta; Magnoliopsida; Brassicales; Brassicaceae. The record is from RNAcentral.
CUAAAAACAAUUCAAUUGAAUGG